AGCUAUCAUUUUCCUAAGACGAUUGGGGGUCCACCCAAGCCGAUUUCCGGGGCGCUUCUGCUAGUUGCUUCGCUGCACGGUGGGAGAGCCUACGUGAUCGGUAACCGGUAUCCUCCAACUGAGGGGCGUAUGGUGCAGUGCGGGCCGGCGUUCAGCGUCGCGAACUCCCUCUCUGCCCCGGACCGUUCCUUGGGAAACUCAGUGGGGGCAAUUGGAUGGCCCGUGGAUUCUUCGGCGGCUUCGGCCCCGGGGGCUUCCCGGGCUGGGCGUCGGGCUUCGGCUCGGCCUCCAACCUUGUAAAUAUCCUGAUCAUCCCUUCGGGGGUGGGGUGUGACUAGGCGUGAUCGCUCCUCGAGGGUGUGCGACCGAACUCUUAAGAUAGU
Molecule: unclassified non-coding RNA, 383 nt
Filed under: Cetrelia monachorum
Lineage: Eukaryota; Fungi; Ascomycota; Lecanoromycetes; Lecanorales; Parmeliaceae
Description: partial 28S-18S ribosomal RNA intergenic spacer
Source: RNAcentral